RNAcentral lists this ribosomal RNA (494 nucleotides) under uncultured bacterium. RNAcentral's name for it is "partial 16S ribosomal RNA". It matches the Rfam family "Bacterial small subunit ribosomal RNA", at positions 28 to 507 of the family's 1533-position model. The record is from RNAcentral.
GACGAACGCUGGCGGCGCGCUUAACACAUGCAAGUCGAACGGAAAGGCCUGCUUUCCCUUGUGGUUUGCGGGUACUCGAGUGGCGAACGGGUGAGUAACACGUGAGUGAUCUGCCCCCAACUUGGUUAUAAGCCUGGGAAACUGGGUCUAAUUCCCGAUAGGACUGCAGGGUGGUGCCUGUGGUGGCAAACUAUUUUCUAGUGGUUGGGGAUGAGCUCGCGGCCUAUCAGCUUGUUGGUGGGGUAAUGGCCUACCAAGGCGGGGACGGGUAGCCGGACUGAGAGGGGGGACGGCCACAUUGGGACUGAGAUACGGCCCAGACUCCUACGGGAGGCAGCAGUGGGGAAGAUUGCACAAUGGGCGGAAGCCUGAUGCAGCGACGCCGCGUGGGAGAUGACGGCAUCCGGGUUGUAAACUCCUUUCGACCGCGAGGAAGCCACCUGGUUGGAAGGGUGGUGACGGUAGUGGUAGAAGAAGCACCGGCUAACUACGUG